AAGUCGUAACAAGGUUUCCGUAGGUGAACCUGCGGAAGGAUCAUCAAUGAUUCUUUCGAAAGAAACAUGUUCAGGCGAGUUCAUUGCCAAAAGCAUUUUCUUUUUCGUAUCAAAAAACGCAGACCAAGUGGAUUUUUUUGGGAGACACUGGUCCAGGCGAGAAAGACAAAGGAUUUUGUCAAAAAAAUAUAUAUACACACACGCUCAACUACACAAAAAAACAACUUUCGGCAACGGAUCUCUCGGCUCACC
This 252-nucleotide unclassified non-coding RNA is filed under the name fungal sp. Its description in RNAcentral is "partial internal transcribed spacer region". The stretch from base 1 to 46 matches the Rfam family "Eukaryotic small subunit ribosomal RNA", at positions 1786 to 1831 of the family's 1831-position model. Lineage: Eukaryota; Fungi. The record is from RNAcentral.